RNAcentral lists this ribosomal RNA (244 nucleotides) under uncultured bacterium. Its description in RNAcentral is "partial small subunit ribosomal RNA". It matches the Rfam family "Bacterial small subunit ribosomal RNA", at positions 26 to 285 of the family's 1533-position model. The record is from RNAcentral.
AGAAUCAACGCUGGCGGCGUGCCUAACACAUGCAAGUCGAACGAGAAAGUGGAGCAAUCCAUGAGUAAAGUGGCGCACGGGUGAGUAACACGUGACUAACCUACCUUUUAGUGGGGGAUAACCUAGGGAACCUGGGCUAAUACCGCAUAACACUUACGAGUCAAAGCAGCAAUGCGCUGAAAGAGGGGGUCGCGGCCGAUUAGCUAGUUGGCGGGGUAAUGGCCCACCAAGGCAGUGAUCUGUA